GAAAAGGUGGAUCUCUGAGCGAUGGCGUGGUGAAGAAGAUCGUGCUAUCGUACACCUACGUUGCCAUAUGGAUCUUCCUGAGCUUCACGGUAAUCGUGUACAACAAGUACAUCUUGGACAAGAAGAUGUACAACUGGCCCUACCCCGUCUCCCUCACCAUGAUCCACAUGUCCUUCUGCGCCACCCUCGCCUUCCUCCUCGUCCGCGUCUUCCGCCUCGUUGAGCCAGUCUCAAUGUCACGCGAUGUCUACCUCUCAUCGGUUGUCCCCAUCGGAGCCCUCUACUCCCUCUCCCUGUGGCUCUCCA
This 306-nucleotide long non-coding RNA is filed under the name Phaseolus vulgaris (common bean). Its description in RNAcentral is "long non-coding RNA (PVUL_LNC001115)". The record is from RNAcentral. Lineage: Eukaryota; Viridiplantae; Streptophyta; Magnoliopsida; Fabales; Fabaceae.